RNAcentral lists this non-coding RNA (24 nucleotides) under Arabidopsis thaliana (thale cress). Lineage: Eukaryota; Viridiplantae; Streptophyta; Magnoliopsida; Brassicales; Brassicaceae. The record is from RNAcentral.
GACCAGAAUUCCACCAGCAACCUC